RNAcentral lists this microRNA precursor (79 nucleotides) under Tursiops truncatus (common bottlenose dolphin). RNAcentral describes it as "miRNA (ENSTTRG00000022677.1)". The record is from RNAcentral. Lineage: Eukaryota; Metazoa; Chordata; Mammalia; Artiodactyla; Delphinidae.
GGGGGGUGUGUGUGUGUGUGUGUGUGUGUGUGUGUGUGUGUGUGUGUGUGCCCGCGCGCGCGCACAUGCACACGCAGAC